RNAcentral lists this ribosomal RNA (472 nucleotides) under uncultured bacterium. Its description in RNAcentral is "bacterial SSU rRNA". It matches the Rfam family "Bacterial small subunit ribosomal RNA", at positions 355 to 825 of the family's 1533-position model. The record is from RNAcentral.
UGGGGAAUAUUGGACAAUGGGCGAAAGCCUGAUCCAGCCAUGCCGCGUGUGUGAAGAAGGUCUUCGGAUUGUAAAGCACUUUAAGUUGGGAGGAAGGGUUGUAGAUUAAUACUCUGCAAUUUUGACGUUACCGACAGAAUAAGCACCGGCUAACUCUGUGCCAGCAGCCGCGGUAAUACAGAGGGUGCAAGCGUUAAUCGGAAUUACUGGGCGUAAAGCGCGCGUAGGUGGUUUGUUAAGUUGGAUGUGAAAUCCCCGGGCUCAACCCGGGAACUGCAUUCAAAACUGACUGACUAGAGUAUGGUAGAGGGUGGUGGAAUUUCCUGUGUAGCGGUGAAAUGCGUAGAUAUAGGAAGGAACACCAGUGGCGAAGGCGACCACCUGGACUGAUACUGACACUCAUGCACGAAAGCGUGGGGAGCAAACAGGAUUAGAUACCCAGGUAGUCCCUGAGCGGGCUGGCAAGGCGCAU